This is a non-coding RNA of Salmo salar (Atlantic salmon), 54 nucleotides long. Lineage: Eukaryota; Metazoa; Chordata; Actinopteri; Salmoniformes; Salmonidae. The record is from Rfam.
UUAAAAUUCAAUUGUAAGUCGCUCUGGAUAAGAGCGUCUGCUAAAUGACGUAAA